Molecule: ribosomal RNA, 253 nt
Filed under: uncultured bacterium
Lineage: Bacteria
Description: partial 16S ribosomal RNA
Rfam family: Bacterial small subunit ribosomal RNA
Source: RNAcentral
UACGAAGGGGGCUAGCGUUGCUCGGAAUCACUGGGCGUAAAGCGCACGUAGGCGGCUUCUUAAGUCAGGGGUGAAAUCCUGGAGCUCAACUCCAGAACUGCCUUUGAUACUGAGGAGCUCGAGUCCGGGAGAGGUGAGUGGAACUCCGAGUGUAGAGGUGAAAUUCGUAGAUAUUCGGAAGAACACCGGUGGCGAAGGCGGCCCACUGGAUCGGUACUGACGCUGAGGUGCGAAAGCGUGGGGAGCAAACAGG